This 1016-nucleotide long non-coding RNA is filed under the name Aedes aegypti (yellow fever mosquito). Its description in RNAcentral is "lncRNA AAEL021559". Lineage: Eukaryota; Metazoa; Arthropoda; Insecta; Diptera; Culicidae. The record is from RNAcentral.
AAUGUCAAUCGUUUCAUCGUGUUUUCAAUCGCGGUAGAAAUCACAUCGUUUUCGCCCUAGGUUCGCACUAACAGCUGUCAAAACGUUUUUUUAUUGGCUCGGGUCGAACCCGGAUCCGCCCUAGGUUCGACCCAAACACAACAAGGUUCGCUCUGCCGAUUUUUUGCGAUCCAACCUGAGCGGGGUCCAACUGUCAAAAAUGGAUUGUUUACGUUUUUGUAAUUAUCAAAAUUAACUAUUGUAGAAACAUAUUAGUAACAAAAGAUGUUUAAGAAAGCAUUUGGCAUCAUUCAUUGGAUUACUAAUGAGACUUCUUUUUGCCUUUUUGCAUUAUAAGAAGUUAAAUUUGAUGAAACUGUGUGGCUGACAUGUCGAAUGUAAGAAUGCCACAGUUGACUUGACUCGAACCUGGAUCCGUUUUCGUUCGUUUAUUGCGAGUCGGGUCAGCUCUGACCCCAGGUUUAAAACCGAAAACGCCAUUAUUCGACAUGUUCUGAGGAAAUAGUCUGUGAUAAACUAUUACGAUGCGUAUUCAUUACGAGCUGAGGCCUUUGUUUUGUAACCUAAUCGCCCCACCUGCUGUCUUCCAGAUGAGAUUUAGGUGCACUCGGGAAACAGUUAAACAAUAAUGAACUCCAUGAUUAAUAUACUACUACACCACGCAAUCUUGGAGUUAUGAUAUAAUCAGUUCAAGAAUUUAUCAACUCUGGCGGCGAAAAGAAGUGCAUGCAUGCUCGCAUUCUCCGUUUGCUCCUGACGGGUGGCUCAGUAGUUAACAAUCUGAACGGUAUGAAGAAUAUCCUGACGAACGGCGGGACCAGUAUGUUUCGGGAAAACUUCAUCAACGUUAUGGAUGACUAUCAUCUGGGUGUUUUCAGUGGACGCAAAAAGGAUGAACAACUCGAGUAACAAAUCCCAAUCCUCUAAAUUGAAUAAUAAUCGAACACCUUCAUUCAAGUUGGUAUUUCUAAUAGAUUCUUGGAAGAAGUACAUAUACAUAUUCAUUAAAUAAUAAA